GCCACUCUCCUGCUGACCAUGCUGCGAAAAACACCAACCAGGCCACUCACUUCCCAGCCGCGGCAACACAAGAACAACACGCCCGUCACGUCCCUGGCUGGCUGGCUGUACAUACCUCGUGACAACACUUCCUAUUCAACACUACAACACUUGCUACACGACACCAUUAUGGGCCAGUUCCACAGUGCAACACAGCGUCAUUGCAAGCACCCAUACCAAACUACACCCCUCAUAAAGGUCAGUUGUUAUACUCAGCACUUAAACUAAAAUACAAACUCCAAUUUCACAGUCCAACACAGAGACUUUGUAAUCACUCUAACCAAGCUAUUCGAUCUUCCACAAUCCACAAUGCUUAGGUUUUCGAUGCAACAACACAUACACAAGAGAUUUCCCAUAUGGUUUUCUCAAAUUUUUUAACUUAUAUAUCAACACCAAACACUACUCAAGGGAUUUUCAAAGUCUGUGGUAUUGGUUUGGAGGCUAAAGAAGAAGUGCUUUCAUUCAUUGAGUUGAAACGCAUCCUCGUUAUUUUGUAUCCAUUGUUUCUUGUUACGCUUGAUUGACUCUAAAAUAAUCAUGAACAUUUAACUAACCCAUCACGUCGAACUGUGAAAGUGGACCUAAGACACUAAGCUAAGACACUAAAGAUAUUUCCUGAAUGGGUGUCUUAAAUUGCUGACCUUCUUCAUCAACACCAAGCACCACACAAGGAGUUUUUGUAGUAUUUGUGUCUGGUUUGGGGGCUUACAAACUUGCUGAACUGGACUGUACAAUAACUUGGCAACACUUCCUGGAACACAAGCCACCACACAUCUACUAUAUAAUGAUACAACUUUAGUAAGAGUAACAACACUAAGUAUAUUUAACAAAUAAGACAGAAGCAAGAAUCAACAAUUAUAAGCCCCUCCAUUGACUAAUUUCGUAGCAAAUUUUGAGAUUAUUGAAUAAAUGGUGUGUGUGUAGCGUGUAUGUAGUUUGAUGUGAAAAGUAAGAAAGUGAGAAAGCCAUUCGUGAGUUUUUGAACUCUUCUUUUUGUUGUUGAGAAACAUUAGAGAAACGUCGAGAUAUUUUCCGGAGGCAUUGUUCUGAGAGUGGUCAGGAAAUGUCAGGGGGCAUUAUCGCGUGGGUCGUCAUCGGGUUGUCCAUCGUGUCCAAAGAGUGCCAGGGGUCUGUCAGGGGUCAGUAGGUCGUGUAAUCGAGUUGUCAGUCCAUGUCCAAAGAGUGCCAGGGGUCUGUCAGGGGUCAGUAGGUCGUAUAAUCGUGUUGUCAGUCCAUGUCCAAAGAGUGCCAGGGGUCUGUCAGGGGUCAGAAGGUCGUAUAAUCGGGUUGUCAGUCCAUGUCCAAAGAGUGCCAGGGGUCUGUCAGGGGUCAGUAGGUCGUAUAAUCGGGUUGUCAGUCCAUGUCCAAAGAGUGCCAGGGGUCUGUCAGGGGUCAGUAGGUCGUGGGUCGUCAGGAGUUGUCAGUCCAUGAGUUUUUUUAGUCUGGCUGAGCCGCUGUCUCCCCAGAAGAGUCUCGGCCAUAACUUUGGUGUUGUCUGUCGGUCUGGAUGAGCCACAGUCUCCCCAGAUGAGACUCACUCUUACCGACACACAGCACCGUUUUUUUGUUGUUUUAUGAUUUUUUUGUAGUUUUUUUGUUUUUGUAGUUAGUGACGCUCUGCCCUGCUGGGGGGAUUUCUUCUUCCCCGCGCGGCAGUUCCUCUUGAAGGCGUCAGUCAUUAUAAUUAUGGUGAUUUGUACCGGUGACCUAGACUGAUAUAAGGGUCACGGCUCGUCUGGCUACUUCUUAGGAAGGUCAGCACGUCUUGCGGGAACUUCAACGCCCCCCCCGCCGGACCUUCGGGAUCCCCGGCACCGCCAUGGACGCCCCGGGGGAGCCAGGGCGCCCUACCGGGCCCCUUCAGCCCUGCGAUGCUCACCAGCAAGACCAAGGGCUCGCUGGCGCUCCCCAGCCCCGACGAUUCGAGGAGGGCGGGUGCAAGAACGCGCUACUCAAAAGUGCCAGACGGGAUUAUUAAAUCAAUCACAAACACUGUUAGGGCGCCGCGCACCGCGUUUGUAGGUUCUGGGAUGGAAAGUCGGAGGGCCGCGGGAACGCGACAGAGCAUCAACAAAAUAGAAAGAAAUACUCGAGACGGCUUUCGGCGAGGCAUUCGAUUCCCUCUUUCUUUCUCACUUCCCUUCCACCCUUACUUUCUUCUGUGCUCCCCAACUCUCUCUCUCUCUCUCU
Long non-coding RNA from Eriocheir sinensis (Chinese mitten crab), 2229 nucleotides. RefSeq lists it as uncharacterized. The transcript has 3 exons. NCBI's taxonomy places the organism in Eukaryota, Metazoa, Arthropoda, Malacostraca, Decapoda, Varunidae. The record is from RefSeq and is a predicted model, not a curated record.